AAACUUGAUUCAGUGCUGCAUUUAGUGUGAUUAAAACAAAUGAUGAGCUUGGAGUUGGGUCUAUACAACCUCACAGAACAGGUGGCAAAAUGGAAAAUGAAGGAAUAUAGAGUGCUUUAAUCUGCAUCCAUGGAGGGCUUGAUGCACAUUUCUUGCAGUUGAGGAAUUCUAAAAUGCUUGAGCAACUGAGAAAGUUACAGCUGAAUUUAGCUAAGCAAAGUGUGAAAACAGGC
RNAcentral lists this long non-coding RNA (233 nucleotides) under Cavia porcellus (domestic guinea pig). RNAcentral's name for it is "lncRNA (ENSCPOG00000038263.1)". Lineage: Eukaryota; Metazoa; Chordata; Mammalia; Rodentia; Caviidae. The record is from RNAcentral.